Panicum virgatum (switchgrass) is the source of this 1035-nucleotide long non-coding RNA. RefSeq lists it as uncharacterized. NCBI's taxonomy places the organism in Eukaryota, Viridiplantae, Streptophyta, Magnoliopsida, Poales, Poaceae. The record is from RefSeq and is a predicted model, not a curated record. The transcript is spliced from 2 exons.
UUCAAUUAGCGCAUAGGAUUACCAUUACGUGUGGAAAGCUCAGGUUUGGCAGCUUAGCACGCCUCAGCAACUUUAAUUAUUGUCCACACCACUGCACUGUUACUGACCAGCUGACUGCAACUUUUUCCAUUGGGAGACUUGGACGAUGUCACUGAAUUCUUGGUCUCUGCUACUGCCAUCUUAUUAUGUUCUACUCUGGGGACACCUUUGACCAAUGACCAACAGUACCAUUCAGAUUCAAUGAUGAAGAGAAGAUCAGAAGGCUGGUGAACCAAAUUACACGGCAUCAAGUAAGAAUAAGAACUGUAUUUUGUUUAACAAAACUUCCUUUGCCUACCCUUUGCAGGGAAUCUAUCAUGAAAGGACUAAAGAGUGAUUUAACCCCUCUUUAUUAGUGUGCCUAACUGACUAGGUGCUGCAAGUUGUGUAUCGUUCUAUCUGCAUAUUCCAAGCUGCCCAAUGCAGGGUAGUGGAAUAUUUCCAAGAUGCAUAUUUCACUUUUUCUUUCGCAGCCGUCUGCUAGUUAUCACACCAAUCUCCAUUUGAAUUUCCAUGCAACUUGAACGCACCUGUUCCACUUUUCAACACUCAAUGCAUGUUUACCAGUUGAGUAUUAAACACGUACAAAGCGGUGACUCUCAAAGUCUUCUUGAGAUUCAAUUAAAAGGGAAGGGACAGCUAGCACAUAUGCUUGAAUCCUAAUGGCGGAGAUUGUCAGUUCUGCUGUUGUCCAUGAGACAGUUAGCCAAGUUCUAUCUGGUCUGGUUCAGAAAUAUGAGGAGAAAGAGGAAUCAAAUGCGAGCAGAAGAAGGAUUCAGCAGUGAUGACAGACACUGAUAAACCCAGCAUGUCAGUAGAGUUCAACAAAUGCAGUUACAGGUCCUAGGACUGAUCGGGGAAUGGAAAGCCAAUGUGCAGUAUGCUCUAAGUUAGGAAUUUAUGCUUGUGUAACACAUAGCUCUUGAUAGGGUUGUUAAUGUGUGUUUGAUUUGUAACACGUCAUUCUUGGUGUUUGAUAUGCUGGGUAUUACUACA